This 501-nucleotide ribosomal RNA is filed under the name uncultured bacterium. RNAcentral's name for it is "partial 16S ribosomal RNA". It matches the Rfam family "Bacterial small subunit ribosomal RNA", at positions 30 to 523 of the family's 1533-position model. The record is from RNAcentral.
AUUGAACGCUGGCGGCAUGCCUUACACAUGCAAGUCGAACGGCAGCACGGGUGCUUGCACCUGGUGGCGAGUGGCGAACGGGUGAGUAAUACAUCGGAACGUACCUUAUCGUGGGGGAUAACGCAGCGAAAGUUGCGCUAAUACCGCAUACGCCCUGAGGGGGAAAGCGGGGGACCGUAAGGCCUCGCGCGAUUAGAGCGGCCGAUGUCUGAUUAGCUUGUUGGUGAGGUAAAAGCUCACCAAGGCGAUGAUCAGUAGCUGGUCUGAGAGGACGAUCAGCCACACUGGGACUGAGACACGGCCCAGACUCCUACGGGAGGCAGCAGUGGGGAAUUUUGGACAAUGGGGGCAACCCUGAUCCAGCAACGCCGCGUGAGUGAAGAAGGUCUUCGGGUUGUAAAGCUCUUUUGUCAGGGAAGAAACAGCAGCUCUAACACAGUCUGCGAAUGACGGUACCUGAAGAAUAAGCACCGGCUAACUACGUGCCAGCCGCCGCGGUAA